Paramuricea clavata is the source of this 604-nucleotide non-coding RNA. The record is from the annotation of a GenBank genome assembly. Lineage: Eukaryota; Metazoa; Cnidaria; Anthozoa; Malacalcyonacea; Plexauridae.
UUCAUGUCCAUCCGAAAUAUAUUGAAAAAGUUUAUAUCAGAUGGCCGAUUUUUGGGAAGAGCUGACCCGGCGUGAAUUGUGAGACCUCUUCCCUGUAUACCUCUAACACUCAUCCUAACCCUUUUGGCCCAACUACUAAUUGUUUAAAUAAUGUGUCUAUAUAUUUGGAAUUCAACCGACUAUCUACAGUACUAAGUUGUCCCAUUCCUGUGAGAAUUACCAACAGAAAUGUUACCAAACUCCAACAUAGUACUAAGCAAGCGAACACUGUAAAUCUCACGAAUGUCAAACUGUUGCCUUUAAUAGGUGCUUGCACAACGAAAUAUUACUUAGGUCCUAGCGUAUUGCUUGCGAAUGCCAUGCCUCUUUUACCUAAAAUUGACGAAGUUCGUUGUGUUAUCCAAAAAGAGAAUCCUGAUCUGGCCUGCUUCACCGAAACAUGGCUACACGAUUCAAUUAUUAACGAUCAUCUCCUUGUCGCUGGAUAUAAUUUUACCUUUAAAAACCGUGUCUCCCAAUCACACGGGGGCGUGUGUCUAUGGAAAACUAUCGUCAUUACCGAAACCUUGUCAAUCGAAAAAGGAAAAUCCUCCAAAGCAGGUAC